ACUUUGGGCAAUAUACAUAAGUUUAAAGCAAGCUUUCGCUAAACAGUCUGCAUACCAAAUCUUAAGUUAGUUUGAGUUGAUUGUUUGAUUGGUCGUGGUAAUCUUUUAAAACAAAUGCUAUAGUUUCAAUUAGCACAUACCCGUUACUCAGAUAAUAUGAGUUUCAAGCUCUUUUGUAACAAAGUAGGCAUACAUAUUUUGCUGGAGGUAUAACAUAGUCGGUACUUCUUCCUGUACCAGUUGCUAUCACCACCAGAAACAACACAAACGUAGAUCAGCGACAGCAAUAAAACAGAAUCAGUUUAUUAUGAUAAUUGAGUUGCAUUUAAUUUGAAUUUCACGGCAUUUUAAUCGCAAAGAAAAAAAUAAUCCGAAUCAGAAUAAUUGCUUCUGCAUUACAUUUUAAUAUUUCAUAUCGCUCGUAUCGCAGUUCAUCUAAUGUCUGUGAGCCCGGAGCAAUUAUUAUUAAUUCUUUAAAGAAGUUAAAAUAUUUUAAAUAAGGCUAGUCAGCCACCCGUUGAGUCUAAUUUGUUUUCCCGUGAGGUUUGCUUUUAAAUAUUUAUUUUCAUCUUAUCCCAUCAAUGGAAAUAGGAUGGUUCCUUUUUAAAUGAGAAUGGUAUUGAUUUUCUGUUUGUGCCAUCUGAGAAAGGAAUUGUCUUGAGAAACCCCCCAAGAGCACUUGUACAACCUUCCCAUCAACAACAAUGCCGCAAGAUGUAGUCAUUCUCCAGAACUAAGGAGUCAGUCAAUGAAGCGAUGACACAGCGUGUCAUCUGUGUAAUUUGCAGCUCUAAUGCCCCAGCAUUCGUCCACUGUCACUACUGUUCGUAUACCUUGUGUUAUUGGAAUAUUAACGGUUUUUGUUACAGCUUUCGGCGACAGGAACAGCCGCUUGGGAAUUCGGAUUCGACAACUUCGCGGCUGAAUGUCUCAGCUGGUGGUUGCGGUAUUGUGGUUGCUUCAAUUUUUAUCAGAUUAAGCCUUGUGGCAGACGACACACGGAGCGUGCCAAUGAAUUUUAAUAGUAAUAGCUGAAGCUAUAGCUAUUUCAGUACCAAUCUAAAGAGAACAUUGCAUUUAGCAGGACUUGACAACUUGAUAUUUCGAAUCUAGUAGUUUCUACUCAAAAAGUAACAGAAAAUGAUAUCAAAGGGAAUUCGGAUUAUGCUUGCUUCGUUGCAGAGGGUAUAUGGAUUUCAGUAAGAUGUUUGCAACGCAGUAUCACAAUAAACAUCCGAGUUAAUAUAGCAAUGCCCUUAAAUAUACAUAUAUAAUUUCACAGAUACUUUUGUAUCCAGGUGAAAAGUUUUCUUCAUAUGACUACUCCUGAUGUCCUCUCGAUGUCCUGCACACGUGCUAACAACACUUACCGGACACCAUGUUUUAACUAAUUGUGUACCACAAACACGCACUUCGCCACAGAUUUAUUUGCUAUUUCAGGAGUCAUUAGCUUCGUAAAGGGAGGGAAGUUAGCCCUAUUUCAAGCACCCUCUUGCAUUAUUAGAAGAAAACGGGCUUUCUAAGGGAUUUAAAAGGGAUGAUGCAAACAAAUUUUGGGGAAGGAAGGUCUAGGUGGUUAAUUGUAGUUUUAAUAAUAAACAUUUUAAUAAUCCAAAUUCUUAUAACUUUUCCAUUAAAACUUUACUUAUUUAUAUAGGAUACAAAAGAAAUUUGCGAGUAAAGGCAAUUUAUGGGCUUAGGUCGUCUCCCGAGACUCAGAUGCUUUACUACCAUGACGCACCAUUUUCAUUUAUUUUUAUUUCCGAUUUAGGUCCGAUUUAACUAAUGAAGUUACAUAAAGUGCAAACAGAAUCUAAAGCAGAUAAUAACCCGAAAUAAUAUAGGAUCAAAUUAAACUCCAUCUUCAUAUCUUUGUAGAAAAUAUAAAAUCAUAUUUCCACAUUUAAUAUGUUGCUUUUUGACAGCGUUGUCAGAUGAAAAUUUUCCUUCCUCCGAAUAAAAUUUUUAUAGUCGAUAUACACUUUUUCCUUAAAUUAAAAAAAAACAAGAGAGAACGCUAUAGUCCAGUUCCCCGACUAUCUGAUA
This is a long non-coding RNA of Drosophila santomea, 2046 nucleotides long. RefSeq lists it as uncharacterized. The transcript has 3 exons. Lineage: Eukaryota; Metazoa; Arthropoda; Insecta; Diptera; Drosophilidae. The record is from RefSeq and is a predicted model, not a curated record.